GGAUGUAUGACUGGACUGUAAUCUUCUAUCCCACAGGUGGACUAAGACAUAUGCCAGAGAGGAAAAAGCCACAAAAGAAUUGCUCCUAUCACACUCGCUUAGAGACUUUCCCCAUCAGGAGUGUUGUAAGAGAAAGAGUGAGAAAGGGCAAAGCAGAAAUGUUGGUUGACUGGGAGCCCUGUCCAGUAUGUGGCAAGGAGUGGGCCCAUUCCUGGCAGCCAAAGGAUUCUCUUCAAAUGAAUAAAAAUAAAUAAAAUGUACAAUUGUAAUCCA
Molecule: long non-coding RNA, 273 nt
Organism: Tachysurus vachellii
Lineage: Eukaryota; Metazoa; Chordata; Actinopteri; Siluriformes; Bagridae
Exons: 4
Source: RefSeq, a predicted model, not a curated record